RNAcentral lists this long non-coding RNA (682 nucleotides) under Mus spicilegus (steppe mouse). RNAcentral describes it as "lncRNA (ENSMSIG00000010789.1)". Lineage: Eukaryota; Metazoa; Chordata; Mammalia; Rodentia; Muridae. The record is from RNAcentral.
UCAAGCAGCAGAGGACAGCCGGUCGCUACCGAAGCCGUGGCGCAUCUAAGCUGCCCCACGCCAGCCGCCGCCGCCUAAUCCCUAGGCCCCGCCCUGCGCCCGCGGCCCCGCCCCCGGCCCGCUUCGCUAUUGGCCAUCCGCUACCGCCAGCCUCUCCCGAUUGGCUAGUGGAUUCAAUGGUUCCCUCAGGAUCUUUCCCCCGCGUUUUGUUGCAGACCACAAUGCACCGCGCACAGCGUCGGUUGCCCGGGCGAUGCGCGGCACGCGUGCGGAGGCCCACACACCCUGAAGGCGGAGCCCCGGGUAGAGUGGCUGGCUCCCGGACCACCCAGCAGUCUGGAAGGAGCCCCUGUGUAGCUGGUACUGCCCUAGGAGACCGUAUACAUACUGAUAGCCUAAUGAUUGAAGGAGAAAUUCGGGAAAGGGAUCGCGUAUCCAGGAGGUAGAGCCUGUCUGCCAGGCAGUGGGGACCUCAAGAUCUGGAAUGUGGGUGGAUGCCCAGUGUGUACAGGUGAGGCUGCUUCCUCCGAUAGAAUGUCCAUUUGGGCAAAGUUUCUUGGCUGAGGGUUUAUUUAUACAAAGGAAGACGUAUCUUAAGAAAGUGAUCCUAAGAUGUGUCUCCUCUGGCAUUUAUGACCAAUCGUACCCACAUAAUAAAUUAAAUAAAUAAAUAAAAAUAACA